AAGUUUAGGUUAAAUAAACCAAAGACCUUCAAAGUCUAAAAUAAGACUCACCAUACUUAACUUCU
This 65-nucleotide transfer RNA is filed under the name Cyrtodactylus majulah. RNAcentral describes it as "tRNA-Trp". Lineage: Eukaryota; Metazoa; Chordata; Lepidosauria; Squamata; Gekkonidae. The record is from RNAcentral.